UAGCACAGAACCUAGCCAGCUUA
RNAcentral lists this unclassified non-coding RNA (23 nucleotides) under Mus musculus (house mouse). Its description in RNAcentral is "oocyte_clustered_small_RNA10063". Lineage: Eukaryota; Metazoa; Chordata; Mammalia; Rodentia; Muridae. The record is from RNAcentral.